UCAAGCGAAGAAGAGCGCAAGGGGAAUGCCUUGGCAUCAGGAGCCGAUGAAGGACGUGAUAAGCUGCGAAAAGCUUCGGGGAGCUGCAAAUAAGCUGAGAUCCGGAGAUAUCCGAAUGGGGAAACCCACUAAGAGUAAUCUUAGUAACACAUGUUGAAUCAAAUAGGCAUGUGUGGGGAACCGCCUGAACUGAAACAUCUAAGUAGGGCGAGGAAAAGUAAUCAACCGAGAUUCCGAAAGUAGUGGCGAGCGAAAUCGGAAGAGGCCAAACCGUACGUAGCAAUAUGUGCGGGGUUGUGGACGGCAAUGUCGGUAAGCUUCGUUAGACGAAUGGUCUGGGAAGGCCAGUCAAAGAGUGUGAGAGCCACGUAGUCGAAAAUGAAGGGAACGUAGCCGGAUCCAGAGUACCGCGGGGCACGAGGAAUCCCGUGGGAAGCCGGGGGGACCACCCUCCAAGCCUAAAUACUACCUGAUGACCGAUAGAGGAGCAGUACCGUGAGGGAAAGGUGAAAAGAACCCCGGGAGGGGAGUGAAAGAGUACCUGAAACCUUGUGCUUACAAGCAGUCAAAGCCCGUUAAAGGGUGAUGGCGUACUUUUUGUAGAACGGUCCGGCGAGUUAUAGUAACUGGCAAGGUUAAGACAUUGAGUGUCGAAGCCGAAGGGAAACCGAGUGUGAAGAGCGCGUUUAAGUCAGUUGCCAUAGACCCGAAACCAGGUGACCUAGCCAUGACCAGGCUGAAGUGGAGGUAAAGCUCCAUGGAGGGCCGAACCCACGUUCGUUGCAAUGACCGGGGAUGAGUUGUGGCUAGCGGUGAAAUUCCAAACGAACCUGGAGAUAGCUGGUUCUCCCCGAAAUAGUUUUAGGACUAGCGUUGGCAAUGAGUUUCGCGGUGGUAAAGCACUGAAUGGGCUAGGGGGCGAUAAGCUUACUGAACCCUAUCAAACUAAGAAUGCCGCAGAAAUGCUUACCAGCAGUCAGACUACGAGUAAUAAAAUCCGUGGUCAAAAGGGAAAUAGCCCAGACCCACAGCUAAGGUCCCGAAUACAUGCUAAGUGGAAAACGAUGUGAGAUUGCAGAAACAACCAGGAUGUUGGCUUAGAGGCAGCCACUCGUUCAAAGAGUGCGUAAUAGCUCACUGGUCGAGUGAUCUUGCGCGGAAAAUUUAACGGGGCUAAGCAUGUAACCGAAGCUUGGGAUUCACGAGAAAAGCGUGAGUGGUAGGGGAGCGUCGAAUACGGGGUGAAGUCGCACCGGAAGGAGCGGUGGACUGUAUUCGAGUGAGAAUGCCGGAAUGAGUAGCGAGAAUUAUGUGGGAAUCAUAAUGGCCGAAAAUCUAAGGUUUCCUGGGGAAGGUUCGUCCGCCCAGGGUAAGCCGGGAGCUAAGGCGAGGCCGCAAGGCGUAGUCGAUGCACAUACGGUAGAAAUUCCGUAGCCGGUACAAUUGUUAAUCACGGUGACACAUGAGUAUAGCUCUACCGGGCGUUGGUAGCCCCGGGCGUAAGCGAGUCGAAUGAGACGAAGUGAGUAAAGCUUGUGGCGAGAAAAGCCGUGUGGAUUGGUUGUACUGCCCGUACCGCAAACCGACACAGGUAGAUGAGGAGAAGAUCCUAAGGCCAACGGGAGAAGGGUUGUUAAGGAACUAGGCAAAUUGACCCCGUAACUUCGGAAUAAGGGGUGCCUACGAAAGUAGGUCGCAGAGAAUAGGCCCAAGCAACUGUUUACCAAAAACACAGGUCUCUGCUAAAUCGAAAGAUGACGUAUAGGGGCUGACGCCUGCCCGGUGCUGGAAGGUUAAGAGGAGAGCUUAGGGAAACCGAAGGUUCGAAUUGAAGCCCCAGUAAACGGCGGCCGUAACUAUAACGGUCCUAAGGUAGCGAAAUUCCUUGUCAGGUAAGUUC
RNAcentral lists this ribosomal RNA (1900 nucleotides) under human gut metagenome. Its description in RNAcentral is "bacterial LSU rRNA". It matches the Rfam family "Bacterial large subunit ribosomal RNA", at positions 3 to 1983 of the family's 2925-position model. The record is from RNAcentral.